AGGGGUGUGGUGUCAAUUGGUAGCACGUCCGGUUGUUACCCGGAAAGUGGGGGUUCGAAUCCCUCCGCCCCUGCCA
This 76-nucleotide transfer RNA is filed under the name Planctomycetota bacterium. RNAcentral describes it as "tRNA-Asn". It matches the Rfam family "tRNA". Rfam says of the family: Transfer RNA (tRNA) molecules are approximately 80 nucleotides in length. Their secondary structure includes four short double-helical elements and three loops (D, anti-codon, and T loops). The record is from RNAcentral. Lineage: Bacteria; Pseudomonadati; Planctomycetota.